CGUGGGCGCUGGAGAAUUGAGGGGGGCUGCUCCUAGUACGAGAGGACCGGAGUGGACGCAUCACUGGUGUUCGGGUUGUCAUGCCAAUGGCACUGCCCGGUAGCUAAAUGCGGAAGAGAUAAGUGCUGAAAGCAUCUAAGCACGAAACUUGCCCCGAGAUGAGUUCUCCCUGAGACUAUAAGUCUCCUGAAGGAACGUUGAAGACGACGACGUUGAUAGGCCGGGUGUGUAAGCGCAGCGAUGCGUUGAGCUAACCGGUACUAAUGAACCGUGAGGCUUAACCUUACAACGCCGAAGCUGUU
Molecule: ribosomal RNA, 302 nt
Filed under: Klebsiella variicola
Lineage: Bacteria; Pseudomonadati; Pseudomonadota; Gammaproteobacteria; Enterobacterales; Enterobacteriaceae
Description: partial 23S ribosomal RNA
Rfam family: Bacterial large subunit ribosomal RNA
Source: RNAcentral